RNAcentral lists this unclassified non-coding RNA (230 nucleotides) under Facklamia languida. RNAcentral's name for it is "16S-23S ribosomal RNA intergenic spacer". The record is from RNAcentral. Lineage: Bacteria; Bacillati; Bacillota; Bacilli; Lactobacillales; Aerococcaceae.
AGUACAGGAAUACACAAUGGCUUGUCUUUGUUUAGUUUUGAGUGAGCUUUAGGGGGNACCCAAAGAUCAUUCAACUUGAUCCUUGAAAACUGAAUAACACCAAACAAGAUUGAUCAUAGUCUCGAUGCGAGCUAUGAGAGAUCCAUUAUUUCUUAAAAAGAUAUAAUGAACCGAGAAAUUGACCGAGUCUAUAACGUAAGUUAUAGAGUAAGAAAGCGAAAGUAUUGUGG